CCUGGCUCCGAUGAACGCUGGCGGCGCGCCUAACACAUGCAAGUCGAACGAGCGAGAGAGAGCUUGCUUUCUCGAGCGAGUGGCGAACGGGUGAGUAACGCGUGAGGAACCUGCCUCAAAGAGGGGGACAACAGUUGGAAACGACUGCUAAUACCGCAUAAGCCCACGGCUCGGCAUCGAGCAGAGGGAAAAGGAGCAAUCCGCUUUGAGAUGGCCUCGCGUCCGAUUAGCUAGUUGGUGAGGUAACGGCCCACCAAGGCGACGAUCGGUAGCCGGACUGAGAGGUUGAACGGCCACAUUGGGACUGAGACACGGCCCAGACUCCUACGGGAGGCAGCAGUGGGGAAUAUUGCACAAUGGGGGAAACCCUGAUGCAGCGACGCCGCGUGGAGGAAGAAGGUCUUCGGAUUGUAAACUCCUGUUGUUGAGGAAGAUAAUGACGGUACUCAACAAGGAAGUGACGGCUAACUACGUGCCAGCAGCCGCGGUAAAACGUAGGUCACAAGCGUUGUCCGGAAUUACUGGGUGUAAAGGGAGCGCAGGCGGGAAGACAAGUUGGAAGUGAAAUCCAUGGGCUCAACCCAUGAACUGCUUUCAAAACUGUUUUUCUUGAGUAGUGCAGAGGUAGGCGGAAUUCCCGGUGUAGCGGUGGAAUGCGUAGAUAUCGGGAGGAACACCAGUGGCGAAGGCGGCCUACUGGGCACCAACUGACGCUGAGGCUCGAAAGUGUGGGUAGCAAACAGGAUUAGAUACCCUGGUAGUCCACACUGUAAACGAUGAUUACUAGGUGUUGGAGGAUUGACCCCUUCAGUGCCGCAGUUAACACAAUAAGUAAUCCACCUGGGGAGUACGACCGCAAGGUUGAAACUCAAAGGAAUUGACGGGGGCCCGCACAAGCAGUGGAGUAUGUGGUUUAAUUCGACGCAACGCGAAGAACCUUACCAAGUCUUGACAUCCCUUGACGAUGCUGGAAACAGUAUUUCUCUUCGGAGCAAGGAGACAGGUGGUGCAUGGUUGUCGUCAGCUCGUGUCGUGAGAUGUUGGGUUAAGUCCCGCAACGAGCGCAACCCUUAUGGUCAGUUACUACGCAAGAGGACUCUGGCCAGACUGCCGUUGACAAAACGGAGGAAGGUGGGGAUGACGUCAAAUCAUCAUGCCCUUUAUGACUUGGGCUACACACGUACUACAAUGGCGUUAAACAAAGAGAAGCAAGACCGCGAGGUGGAGCAAAACUCAGAAACAACGUCCCAGUUCGGACUGCAGGCUGCAACUCGCCUGCACGAAGUCGGAAUUGCUAGUAAUCGCAGAUCAGCAUGCUGCGGUGAAUACGUUCCCGGGCCUUGUACACACCGCCC
RNAcentral lists this ribosomal RNA (1355 nucleotides) under uncultured bacterium. RNAcentral's name for it is "bacterial SSU rRNA". It matches the Rfam family "Bacterial small subunit ribosomal RNA", at positions 18 to 1395 of the family's 1533-position model. The record is from RNAcentral.